This is a long non-coding RNA of Biomphalaria glabrata, 2438 nucleotides long. RefSeq lists it as uncharacterized. The record is from RefSeq and is a predicted model, not a curated record. The transcript has 4 exons. NCBI's taxonomy places the organism in Eukaryota, Metazoa, Mollusca, Gastropoda, Planorbidae.
AAUAUUAUUUUUUAAGGCCACUUCGUUAAAAUAGGUGUUUCCAGUACUUCCUCAUUUGGGUAUUUUACACAAAAUCUGGAAUUAUUUUUUAUGUACAUGUCAUUAUUAUCAUCUGUCCCGCGCAACCAAACCAUCCACUUUUCCCGGUCACCAAUGUUCUUAACAAGAUAUCAAGAGAGAGACGCUGGUCCAUUAUUUGCGUAGUCCAGCCAGCUUUUUUUUUUUUGACAACCUUUUUUCGUUCUCUCUCAUGAAGGAUAUGUUUUGAAAAUUAGUCUUACAAAAUACAAUUCCAAACCAACUCAUGCAGUUAUCGUCUUUUCACAGUAUUGAGGAGUCAUCAUUUUUGCUAGCCAGAGUGUUAAUUGGCAAAAGUGAAAAAAUCAUUUGUUUAAUUUUUUAAAGUAAAUAUUCAUAACUAUAUCUUUUAUAUAAUAAUAUAUUUUUAAAAUAAUAAUCUUUUAUAUAGACAUGUUUUAAUAGAUCUAAUAAAUGAUUAACUCGGACCUACCAAUAUGGGUAUAUAAAUACUUAAAUCUGGGUAUUUAAAAUUUCGAAUGCGAAUUUUUUAAAAACCGAACUUAUAUAUAGAUCUAGAUCUCUUGUAUAAUAGAUCUAUCUAGAAUAAUAUAGAUCUACAACACCUAGACUAAAGUUAAAGACUAAGGUCUAGAUUUAUUUAACGUUUUAAAAAAAAUCAAUAGAUCUAAUAUAGACAGUCAUGAGAUCCACUCUAUUUUAUCUACAAUCUAGAUCUAGACCAUACAUGAGAUCAAUGAUGAAUAUGAAUAUUUAUAGAUCUAGUCUAGACACCUAGAUCUAGAUCUAUCGAUCAUCUAGUCUGUCUAUAGUCUAUAGCUUUAGACUUAGUAUACACUUUUACAGUAUAUGAGUAUACUCAUACGAGUCAUACUGGCUAUACUAUAGUAUAGACUGACACUAUAGUUAGUAUAGUUAAUACUUUUUAAUAGUAGAUCUAUAAUCUAUCAAUUCUAUCUAAAUCUAGACUUCACUUUCACAUCACAUUCACACGAUUAUUGAUACAGACAAUGAAUGAAAAGAAUGCAGUGGUUAUACUUAUUAUACUUAUAGUGACGAUACUACUUAUAGAUCUACCAGUUGAUAAACAUCAUCAUCAUAGAUAAUAAUCUGCAUCUAUAAUCAUAGUGCCCUUUAUUUAGUCAAUAUAGUCAAGUCAAGAUAGUGGAACGUAAACUCGAAGGUUUAAUACAAUACGUUAUUAACAAGUAGGACGUAAUCAUCUUCUUUUUUGAAGUAACGUCUGUAUUAUAUAAGAUAAGAUAACCAUGGCAACCAGUUCUGAUGAUGUACCAGAAUGGCUCAAGGAUCAUACUUAUACUAUUUCUACUCUCUGGGCAGACAUUAAUAAUAUUGGGAUCCAUUCAAUAUUUAAUUUAUGUUUGGAAAUGCAAGAAAAAGGCAUGCAUUCCUGAAAAGUCACUGAUUGGUUGCACCUCUUAAAGAUAACUUUCUGUUAUGAGAAAAGAUGAGAUUCUUGGACUCCUGCAUAGCACCACCAGAAAGGAAAAUCCCAUCAUGUUGCAAAAUAAAAGUCUUGGACCAAUUUUAAUUUAAGAUAUAUAUAUAUUAUACUGUAAGCUGUAUACAUAUUUAUGUAUAUCCUGUCAUUCAGCCAACAGGUUUGGAUUUAGUAUUUCUUUAAAUCUGUUUGAUAUUGUACUUGAAAACUAUUAAUCUGAGCCCCAUUAAAACAAGAGGGAGUGCAGUGGAUGAGUGGUAAGGGAAAUUUUACUUUUUUAAAAUUAAAAAUAAGAAUCUAACAAAAGUAAACAUAUAAAAUAUGGUGCAUUCUCCUUAAAACUAAAACCUGGUGCAAAGGUUUAAAAUGUUGGCAAAAAAAAAAGCAACAUCAAUUAAAUAUUCUUAAUUCCCUUACUGAGAAGAACAUGCAUGUUGUUCCCUCAUAAGUUUCUUGACAGAGGAAAUCUUGUUUAUAUUAGAUUUGAAUUAAGCAAAUUAAGAAAAAAAUUAUAAUCAUUAUUUCAAAUGGUUGUAUCUAAACCUUAUGAAUUAUUUUUCAGUUAUAAGUAUAUUGAAAUGAAUGGAUAAUCAUGAAAUUGUUAAAUAAUUGCCAUUGACUAAAGAACCAUAAUUUUUUUUUUUAAUUAAUUUCAAAAUGAUUUUUUUCAAGCAGAGUUCACAUGGAUCUUGAGUGAAAUUUUUCUUUUUUUGACUAAUGCUUCAAUUUUAUUGUAUCAUUAGUUUUUUAUUUUUAUUACCCAGAAUAUUUAAAAAAUUAGUACACUAUUUUCAUGUAAUAAUGUAACUUGGUAUUCACACAUCAAAAUACACUAUAAUCUUUAGGCCAUAUAGAUUUGUAUAAAUAUAAAUUAACAUUCUUGGAUACAUUGUAAAUGUAUAUUGUUUGGAUAAGAAUAAAGUUUUUCUGUAGACAA